RNAcentral lists this unclassified non-coding RNA (309 nucleotides) under plant metagenome. RNAcentral's name for it is "partial contains 5.8S ribosomal RNA, internal transcribed spacer 2, and large subunit ribosomal RNA". The stretch from base 1 to 102 matches the Rfam family "5.8S ribosomal RNA", at positions 50 to 154 of the family's 154-position model. The record is from RNAcentral.
AAACUGCGAUAAGUAGUGUGAAUUGCAUUUAGUGAAUCAUCGAAUCUUUGAACGCACAUUGCGCCCUCUGGCAUUCCGGGGGGCAUGCCUGUCCGAGCGUCAUUACGCACCCUCAAGCCCGGCUUGUGUGAUGGGCCCCGGCGUCUCGUUCGCGAGACGGGCCCGAAAGGCAGCGGUGGCGUCGACCCGAUGAGCCCGAGCGUAUGGGGACUUCUGUCACACGUUCGCGGUGCGGACCGGCGCCUGCUUGACUUUUCUGAUUAUCCAGGUUGACCUCGGAUCAGGUAGGGAUACCCGCUGAACUUAAGC